CUACGGGGCGCUGCAGUCGAGAAUCUUCCGCAAUGGGCGCAAGCCUGACGGAGCAAUGCCGCGUGAGGGAUGACGGCCCUAGGGUUGUAAACCUCUGUCAGAAGGGACGAAGAACGUGACGGUACCUUCAGAGGAAGCCAUGGCUAACUACGUGCCGAGCAGCCGCGGUAAUACGUAGAUGGCGAGCGUUAUUCGGAUUUACUGGGCGUAAAGGGUCCGUAGGGGGUCUGCCAAGUCUGAUGUGAAAUCCUGCGGCUCAACCGCGGAACUGCAUUGGAAACUGGCGGACUAGAGUGUGCGAGGGGUGAGCGGAAUUCCUGGUGUAGCGGUGGAAUGCGUAGAUAUCAGGAAGAACACCGAUGGCGAAGGCGGCUCACUGGCGCAUCACUGACCCUGAGGGACGAAAGCGUGGGUAGCAAACAGGAUUAGAUACCCCAGUAGUC
RNAcentral lists this ribosomal RNA (443 nucleotides) under uncultured bacterium. RNAcentral describes it as "partial 16S ribosomal RNA". It matches the Rfam family "Bacterial small subunit ribosomal RNA", at positions 339 to 795 of the family's 1533-position model. The record is from RNAcentral.